RNAcentral lists this long non-coding RNA (368 nucleotides) under Homo sapiens (human). Its description in RNAcentral is "non-protein coding lnc-CNOT2-3:1". Lineage: Eukaryota; Metazoa; Chordata; Mammalia; Primates; Hominidae. The record is from RNAcentral.
ACCUCACAUAGUUACCUGUUGUGUGUGUAUGUGGUGAGAACAUUUAAGAUCCGUCUUAGCAAAUUUCACAUAUAUAAUAGUGUCUUAUUAACUGUAGUCACCAUGUUGGACAUUAAAUCUCCAAAACUUAUUCAUCCUGCAUAAGUGAAACUCUGUACCCUUCACCAACAUCUUCCCAUUCCUCCUACCUCCUAGCUCCUGGCAAACACCAUUUUACUUUCUGCCUCUAGUUCUACCUUUUUAGAUUUCACAUGUACGCGAGAUCACACAGUAUUUGUCUUUGUGUGCCUGACUCAUUUCACUUAGUAAAAUGUCCUCCAAGCUCAUCCAUGUUGUCCCAAAAGACAAGAUUUCCUUUUUUUUGAGAC